GGGGUUGUGGCUCAGUGGUAGAGUGCCCGCUUCGCAUGUGUGAGGCACUUGGUUUGAUCCUCAGCACCA
RNAcentral lists this transfer RNA (69 nucleotides) under Marmota monax (woodchuck). RNAcentral's name for it is "tRNA.Ala". Lineage: Eukaryota; Metazoa; Chordata; Mammalia; Rodentia; Sciuridae. The record is from RNAcentral.